RNAcentral lists this small RNA (84 nucleotides) under uncultured Buttiauxella sp. Its description in RNAcentral is "OmrA-B family". It matches the Rfam family "OmrA-B family". Lineage: Bacteria; Pseudomonadati; Pseudomonadota; Gammaproteobacteria; Enterobacterales; Enterobacteriaceae. The record is from RNAcentral.
CCCAGAGGUAUUGAUAGGUGGUGUCGGCGCCUGAUGCUGACCACAAGAGUUACACCAACCUGCGCGGAUGCGCAGGUUUUUUUU